Xyrauchen texanus (razorback sucker) is the source of this 2353-nucleotide RNA transcript. It is a transcript of the gene named rab GTPase-binding effector protein 2-like, with no coding region annotated. The record is from RefSeq and is a predicted model, not a curated record. The transcript has 11 exons. Lineage: Eukaryota; Metazoa; Chordata; Actinopteri; Cypriniformes; Catostomidae.
UUGUGGGCUUCAUAGGCGCGUUCCAGCUCGCUUAUGUCUAGACCCAAAACUGCUGUCUAUGUAGCUAGCUCGCUAGGUCUUGAGACACGGACUGUGUGUGAGCGACUCUUGGGAGGAUGGUUAGGUAAUAAACCGGUAAAAGUUGUUUCCUGAACUCUUGGUGCGGUUUGUUGAAGGCCAGCCCUGCUGCAGCUCAGACAGGAAAAGGAAGACAGAUGUAGGGGAAGGGAAAAACAGCGAAAUGAAAGGAAAAUAUCGAGACAAAUGACGUUCAACCAUGGAAGUGUCGGAGAAGCCAGCAUCGCACAACGAUGAUAACGGUGAAGAUCUGCAGACCCAGAUAAUCGAGUGCCGAGCCCAGCUGGAACACUGGCAGGGUGUGGCGAGGAUCUGUGAGUUUAGCAAACAGGAGGAGCUGCAAGAACUGCAAAAACAGUUUGACCAGGAGGUUCAGUCAUUGCACGAGGCUCUGAGAGAAACAGCUGCUCAGUAUGAGGCAAGAAUAUCUGCUCUUCAGUCAGAGCGAGCGCAGUGGAGGAGAGCAGCUCUGCCCCAUAACGGCAAGAGAUAUGUUAAAAAGGGCAAGGUGGAGGGUACCUCUCCUCCCACUGGGAGAACACAGGGCAACUCUUCUCCCCCGAGGGGGGCUGAAUCUGAGGGCUCCGGGUCAGACUCCGAUCCACUAGAAUUGUUGGCAGAGGUGUCAGAUUUAGAGACCACAGGCCUUAUGAUGGACUACUUUCCCCAGCACUGCGACUCUGCGUCACUCUCAUCCUUCUCUUUGGACACCCCCUCUUUGCCCAGGCAUCCACCCCCUCAGGAUGACACUGCCUCCCUGAUUUCUACAGGAACGCUGGUACCUGAAGCGAUCUACAUGCCACCACCCGGUCACAGACUGGUCAAUCAUGCUUACUGGAACCAACUGCAAGCACAGCUUAAAGAGUUUCAGGAGGAGGUGACAGAGCUUAGAAAGCAGAAAGCUGAGCUGGAGAAAGUAUUGCAUGUGCAAUCCACAGAGACUCAAAAACAGUUGUCAGUGCUUCAGUCUCAGGUGCACACAUCUGAGGCCCUUCUUCAAGACCUACAGAAAUCUUUUAGCCAAUCUCAGAGUGCCGUUCAGAGCAGAUUGACAGAACUGUCUUACUCUCAAAAGAGAGUUUGUAAUGAACUCUCGAAGUUGAAAGGCAAAGACACUGAGGCGGAUGAAGGAACAGAAGAUGCUCUUCCACCCCUCAGUCCAAAACAACCGGCAGCUCACUGUGAGGAGAGACUUCGUAUUGAAAUCGUGAACCUACAGGAGCAGCUGGAGACGCGCACAGAAGAGAGCGGUGUGAACAUCUCUUCAUUCUCCUCGCUUCAUUCUUCCUCUUAUGAUUUUUUUGACCCCCUCCAUGUUUUUAUCUUUCCUCUUUGUUUACAUUUAAAUUUUGAAUAAUUAAUUCCAUAUCUUUUGUUUCUAUUAUGUUACAUUAUCUUAUGAAGUCUUCUAUGUUAUCUGCAUUUUCAUUGCAAUGACCAUGUGUUCUCCCAUCUUGCCUUUUCUCCUUCUCUUUCUUACAUCACACCUGCUUCUUCAGAGAUUUUAGAAGUCAAGCUUGCCAGCCUGAAGGUAGAGACGGACCGCAUACAGAACCAAAAAGAAAAGCACACAGACGAGAAAUGUCCGCAACUGGAGGAGGACAGACAACAACGGAACUUUCCCCAUUGGACAACCGCAAAGCCUGCAUCAUCGGAGACACGGCUCUGUCCGGGAUUACUAAGGACGGUGACACUGAUGCUCUUGCGACAGAACAAACCGGGCCAUCUAACACCCAAAGUGAAGCGACACCCGUUGUGCCUGAGGAGCUUGAGGAGCCGGGCCCAUCCAUUGCCCCUUCCAUGCGCCGUGCGCCAAGAGUGCUGAGUGAGGCGGUGCUACAAAAUCAAGAGGAAACAACAAAAUCCAUUAAUGACCUAAAGGAUCAACUGAGCAACAUAACGAAUGUAUUGAUUCAAAUCAACGAGUCUCUGAAACAGAUUGCCUCUUGCACAAAUACAAUUGCUAAUAAACCAUAAACCGCUGACUAAUGUGAUUUCAGUUAUUUGUUUCCACGAAGCUGCAAAACACAAAAUGAAAUCGCUGUAAUGUUUCUGCACUCGACCAAUGGCCAGACUUACCUAAAAUGUCUGUAUGAUCCUCUGUCUUGUCUGAAUGCUAGCGGCAUUAGGAGGUGGCAGGGGCACUGCAUCGGGCAUAGGGCCGUCUGGUCUUGGGGGUUCCUGCAGAGGGAUGCCCUGUCUGAUGGCCAAGUUGUGUAGCACACUGCAAGCCAUUAUGAUUUUGCAUGCUUUUUCUGGCUGAUACUGCAGUGUC